RNAcentral lists this ribosomal RNA (253 nucleotides) under uncultured bacterium. RNAcentral's name for it is "partial 16S ribosomal RNA". It matches the Rfam family "Bacterial small subunit ribosomal RNA", at positions 524 to 776 of the family's 1533-position model. The record is from RNAcentral.
UACGUAGGGCGCAAGCGUUGUCCGGAAUUAUUGGGCGUAAAGAGCUCGUAGGCGGCUUGUCACGUCGGGUGUGAAAGCCCGGGGCUUAACCCCGGGUCUGCAUCCGAUACGGGCAGGCUAGAGUGUGGUAGGGGAGAUCGGAAUUCCUGGUGUAGCGGUGGAAUGCGCAGAUAUCAGGAGGAACACCGAUGGCGAAGGCAGAUCUCUGGGCCGUAACUGACGCUGAGGAGCGAAAGCGUGGGGAGCGAACAGG